RNAcentral lists this ribosomal RNA (769 nucleotides) under uncultured Lactobacillus sp. Its description in RNAcentral is "bacterial SSU rRNA". It matches the Rfam family "Bacterial small subunit ribosomal RNA", at positions 19 to 757 of the family's 1533-position model. Lineage: Bacteria; Bacillati; Bacillota; Bacilli; Lactobacillales; Lactobacillaceae. The record is from RNAcentral.
UCUGCUCAGGACGAACGCGGGCGGCGUGCCUAAUACAUGCAAGUCGAGCGAGCUGAAUUCAAAGAUCCCUUCGGGGUGAUUUGUUGGAUGCUAGCGGCGGAUGGGUGAGUAACACGUGGGCAAUCUGCCCUAAAGACUGGGAUACCACUUGGAAACAGGUGCUAAUACCGGAUAACAACAUGAAUCGCAUGAUUCAAGUUUGAAAGGCGGCGCAAGCUGUCACUUUAGGAUGAGCCCGCGGCGCAUUAGCUAGUUGGUGGGGUAAAGGCCUACCAAGGCAAUGAUGCGUAGCCGAGUUGAGAGACUGAUCGGCCACAUUGGGACUGAGACACGGCCCAAACUCCUACGGGAGGCAGCAGUAGGGAAUCUUCCACAAUGGACGCAAGUCUGAUGGAGCAACGCCGCGUGAGUGAAGAAGGUCUUCGGAUCGUAAAGCUCUGUUGUUGGUGAAGAAGGAUAGAGGCAGUAACUGGUCUUUAUUUGACGGUAAUCAACCAGAAAGUCACGGCUAACUACGUGCCAGCAGCCGCGGUAAUACGCAGGUGGCAAGCGUUGUCCGGAUUUAUUGGGCGUAAAGCGAGCGCAGGCGGAAUGAUAAGUCUGAUGUGAAAGCCCACGGCUCAACCGUGGAACUGCAUCGGAAACUGUCAUUCUUGAGUGCAGAAGAGGAGAGUGGAACUCCAUGUGUAGCGGUGGAAUGCGUAGAUAUAUGGAAGAACACCAGUGGCGAAGGCGGCUCUCUGGUCUGCAACUGACGCUGAGGCUCGAA